UGGGGAAUAUUGGACAAUGGGGGCAACCCUGAUCCAGCAAUGCCGCGUGUGUGAAGAAGGCCUGCGGGUUGUAAAGCACUUUCAGUAGCGACGAAAAGCCUAAGGUUAAUACCCUUGAGUCUUGACUUAACCUACAGAAGAAGCACCGGCUAACUACGUGCCAGCAGCCGCGGUAAUACGUAGGGGGCGAGCGUUGUCCGGAAUUAUUGGGCGUAAAGAGCGUGUAGGCGGCCUGGUAAGUCUGCCGUGAAAACCUGGGGCUCAACCCUGGGCGUGCGGUGGAUACUGCUAGGCUAGAGGAUGGUAGAGGCGAGUGGAAUUCCCGGUGUAGCGGUGAAAUGCGCAGAUAUCGGGAGGAACACCAGUAGCGAAGGCGGCUCGCUGGGCCAUUCCUGACGCUGAGACGCGAAAGCGUGGGGAGCAAACAGGAUUAGAUACCCGUGUAGUCC
This 449-nucleotide ribosomal RNA is filed under the name uncultured prokaryote. RNAcentral describes it as "bacterial SSU rRNA". It matches the Rfam family "Bacterial small subunit ribosomal RNA", at positions 355 to 796 of the family's 1533-position model. The record is from RNAcentral.